UAUAGUCAGGUGAAAAAACAAAGUCCAUCUACUCAGCAAUGGCUCAACCUUGGAAGGUGCAGGAAAAGUAUUAAAUCAAUGAUUGUUAACCUCUCUGGUCUGAAACAGCAGUUCCUAAACUCAUUUUGCCCAGGGACUAUUGACAUGACAGCAGGAGUGUGCUGGGGCUCGCUACAGCCGUGCGUCUCAGUUGAUUUGCCACAGGACAUGGCGUGUGGCUUUGCAGGCAGGACCACGUACCACUCUGAAGGAGUCUCUGUGCCACAGCAUGUGCCAAAGGGCUGGCCUACAGCAAGAUCCCCCUUGAAGACUAUUGGUAAUAGUCUUGUAAAUAGAGCGUGACCCUCUGGGAAUGUCCAUCUGGCUCCACUCAGGCACAGCAAGUCCCACAGCCACUUUCAGAGGAUGCGUUGCUUGGACCGACAGCCCUUUCUGAGAAGUGGAAUGAAUUACCCAUGGCAAAGCAUCACACAAGCCUGCUUAUAGCUACUCCUAAUAUCUCAGCACAACACUAAACUGUGCCUUGGAGAUGGUCAGGCUUUUUUGUUAUUCCGCAUACACCUGGCAGCAGCAGUUGCCACCCUGCAAGCUGGGCACCUACCAAAUCCAUGGUAGGGAUCCUGCUGGGAUUAUUGCGCCCCUCUGCUCCCUCCCUCCGUCUUGCACACACCGGUUUGAGUUUGCAAAUCGUGGGUGCCAGCUCUGAGGAGUGCCAUGCUGUUUGCAGUUGUUUAGUGCCCGUAGACAGAGGCAAAGGUGGGGAUGCAGUUGCUGAGGCCCGGGGAUGCAGAGCAGCACUGUGCUUGUUCUGCAAAGCGGAUCUCCCCUGAUCGGGACCAGGAAGCCGACGGGGUUGGAAAAAAGAGUUAAUCUUCAUUCAUGCUUUUGUGUUGUCUCCAUAUUCCAAGCGCACUUCAUCACUAAAAUAAUCAAUGCCAUCCAAUUUAAAAGUCAUUAAGCUGAGGAAAUUGCCAAGGAUUUUUCCGUUCCCCACCUCAUCGAGCCUUUUCACCUGGAAGCGUGAAAUCUGCCCGUGGGAGAUCUCCAUUCUGCCAGGCCUGGUGGGAACCCACCCUGGAGCCCAGGAUCCGGCCCCCAGCACGCACUGGUGGGUGCUGGGGAGGUGAGAGGGCUGGCUGUGGGUUUUUUCUGGAGGGUGGGGAUUCUGGGGGGCUGAGCUAGCCCUCAGCGAGCAUGGUUAGCAUGAGGUACUGUGCAAAAGAUACAGGGUAUCUCCAGUCCCAAACUGGGCUGUGUGUUACUUCCCCAGUUACCUGUCUGCUUCAAAACAAAGCCACAACUAGUGAGAUUUAAAGACUGCUGAGAUGUCCAGAAUCCCUCCCUGCCUCCCUCUGCUCAGUGCCUGUUUGAACGGGCAGCUACAUUCUGCCUGGAAACCUUCCCUCUGCCAAGCGGGCUCUAUUUUUCUGGAAGGAAGCCUUAAAUCCUGCAAUUCCUGAAUUUUUCAGAUUUUGACAUAAGAGGGUCUCUUUUAGCUACAUCUCCCUGGAAGGAGGAAUGAAAACACACUGCAAGGGGCAUUAAUUUUAUUAAUUUUCUUGGUAGUGCUACCCACAGGCUGAAAAAUCCUGAGUUACCCCUCAGCUCGCGUGCCACAUGCCCUUAGCUAAGCAUAAGCCCGUUGCUUCUGAUUCUUCUCAGCGGAAAGGAGCUUCAUCGCUUGUCUCUAGAGGCAGGGCUUCCAGAUUGCAAACUCUCAAAACACACUUCCUAGCUGUCUGAUUUUGAAACCUUGGCUUCACGUUGCUGAGCUUUUCUGGCUCUACGACAACAAAACUUCUGGAAUCGGAGAUUUUAAUGUGAACACUCGAUAACCGGCUCAGGUUUUCUGAAAAGCAACUAGCAAAACCACACAUGCCUGACAGCGACAGCUUGAGGGACGGUGCCUCCUCCCCACCUUCCCCUCCGAGACCCUUCGCCGGAGAUUUUUUGGAGGGUCAGGUUGCUGAAGUUAUCCGAGAUUUCUUCUCUCCCGGUAUGGAAAGGUGGUUUCCAUCUGCACUAAUGUAGGUUUUUCCUGUAGAGCAUGAAUUUAAGCCUAUUGCCUGAGCCAUUUGCAGAGUAACAAGGGAGUCUGUGCCAUGGCCCGGGCUCUGUCCUGCAGGUGGGUUGGCAGCAGCAGGUCUCCCUUAUUAUGGUGGGACCUGCUGGGUUGCCCAGGACAUCUUUCUGUCCACCCCAGGAAGAGCAGGAUCGACCUCAGUUGCCUUGCAUAAAUUUUCUAAGGCAGACAGGCUAAAGGACACACUUUUAAUAAACUGAAGUUGCAAAAUAAUUUACUGAACAUUUUCUCAUAGCUGUUUAUUUCGCCAUCAGCCCGUGACACCAUCUUAAUGGCACAAUGAAUUAUAGCUGCUGGGGGACAAGGUAACGUGUUAAUAGCCCUCUUCCACAAGCAAAGCUACGUUUCUAAAAGGCACUUUUUAGCUAGUAUAAUGUUCUGUGUCUGAAAAGAAACAAAAGCAAGUUGUUUUAUUGUUUUCUCAUUGAAAAGAGACUGCAGCCUACAGCUCACAAACAACAUGGCAUAAAACCAGAACGUACAGCUCCGCGGGCAGAAAUACCUCAACUCCAAAUAGCCGCAUGAUAUAGGGAAAAAGAAACUAUGCCUUCUUACUCCGAUGCAAAACCAGAGAGAAGCAUUUGGAGUGCUCUUUAACACAUCAGUGUCUGUAAUUAUGGAAGUUUUACUCUCUGCAUGCCCUAAAAAUCUAUUGAAGUCAAGGAGAGGGCAGGAAACGCAGCUGCAAGCUCAACCUAGGGAGAAGAGCUGGGCGAUUACGGUGCUGAACACAGCCUCAGAGGUCUGCUCAACCUUUAUCUUGGACUUUUAGUAGGACCUUGGGGAAAAUCACCUGCAAAUGUUCUGCUGCUGCUGUUUCCAAGCUGCAAAACAAGACUAAUGCAUUUACCUCUCACCCUUUGAUCUGACUGGGAAGCUCUUCACAGCAAGGGAUCGUGUUUUGCCGGUGCAUUUGCUCAUCACCCAGCGCAUCGCAGCUCAAACUUCAGCUGAGCCUUGAACACACUGAUAAGGUACAGUUAAUGAUAACACUACUCCUGCUUUCCUUUAGCUAGACAGCAGCACUGCUCUCCCUGUUAGGUUCCUGUUUACCUACAGCUCCAAAUAGCCACAUAUUUUGGCGUAAUCAAUGAGGGUAUGUUCUAAGUGCUUGUUUGAAGAUUCCCACUGACAAAUCACAAAAUUUACUGUUGCACUAGAGAGUCCUUGGCAGAUGUUGCCCAUUUCCACGUGCCCGCAGCCGUAGGUGAGCUGCCUGGCAGUGGCGGCUGCAUCCCUCCCAACAUGAGCUUUGUGUUAUCGCUUCUCCCCGUUUUCUUUCCACGCUGCCCGAUUGUGCUCGGCUGUGACAGCAACAUCCCGGCCGGCAACACCCCACCCUUCCCAUGGCGCUGGCACGAGCUCCCCACGGCUGGACCACAAAGCCUGUAAGCCGCUGUGAAGGAGGGGAAAGGGAUGCGGUGCCUUUUCCGUGGGAUGAUUUCAAGUUUUAGGAAGACACCAGAAUGUGACACAAGGAUGUAAAGGCUCUGCCCUGGGCAGGGCAGUUUUUGUGAGAAUCGUUGGGGAUGAUACAAUGAAAACCACCUGCAAUGUGGGGAAGACAAAGGCUUGCGGCUCCUCCUGCUCAGCCUCUGCACAGCAGGAUUCCUGAUGCCCUCGUUUAUGUUUAAAACUAUGAAGGAGAGAGCAUAAUCCUGUCUCAUUCAUGGUCUGUUGUGAACUGAUAUUUUGGAUACCGGCUCUAAAUUAGGUUUUAAAAAUAGACCAGUGGUCUUUUUUUUUUUUUUCUUGUUAUAAACAGAAAUUAUUAUCUCAUGGAAACAUUUAACCUCAAAUGGAACCUCAUCUAAUUUUUACUGUGUUUAUUAUAGCCUGUGAAAUAUGAAUGAGCAUCACUGAUAUAACUCUAUAUGAUUAUUGAGCUGUGAUGGCCCAGCUGGGAAAGACUCAGCUGUUUGGAUAAAAAACCAAAAGUUCUGAUAUCGUGCUGGUCUUUAUUUGAAUGACCCCAACCUCUGAGGCAGACAAUAUUGGCUCAGAAAGCUCUGGGAAUUGUCACUUUGCAUCGAAUUUUAUUAUUUCUGACCCUGGUCAUGCCCUCCAUCAGGAAACACAGGAGUCAAUGGGGAAAUGCAUAUCAGAUUGAAAAGUUACUAAUUUACUUGGAAAAAAAAAAGUGAAUUAAAACCCAUUAGUUUUAUGCUGCUAUUUGGGUUUUUUUCUGUUGAUUAAAAAUGUCUGUAAUGCAGAACAUUAGUAUUCAUUUUUCCCAUUUGGAUGCAAGCCUAAAUAAUAUAUGCAACUAUAUAACAUAUAAUUAAGAAAAUGUAAUAAAUAUAAUAUAUAUAAAAUAUACACAACAUAUAUAACAAAACAGUGAUGGGAAAAUUUUGUCUGAUUCUACAGAAAGGUAUGUUUUGGUUUUUUUUAACUUGCCAACACCAAUUUAAAAUCAAUAUAAGAGUUUCAGGAAAUUUUACCAAUGCUGCAAACAGCUCCUGAAAACCACUGAGAUUUAUUUAGGUUGGGGAAUUCAAGGAAUAUCAUUUUGCCUCUGAGUCUGUACAACUUCUGGGACACUGGCAUCACAUUUCAUAGCUGUUUUUUCCAGACAUUGUUCUAAUAAUCCUAAUGAUGGCUGUUAAUGCCAUGUGAGGACUGUACACAGGUAUCAGCAGCAAAGUUUUUAAGACUCCUCAUUUAC
Molecule: non-coding RNA, 4751 nt
Organism: Phalacrocorax carbo (great cormorant)
Lineage: Eukaryota; Metazoa; Chordata; Aves; Suliformes; Phalacrocoracidae
Source: RefSeq, a predicted model, not a curated record